Molecule: ribosomal RNA, 477 nt
Filed under: uncultured bacterium
Lineage: Bacteria
Description: partial 16S ribosomal RNA
Rfam family: Bacterial small subunit ribosomal RNA
Source: RNAcentral
AUUGAACGCUGGCGGCAUGCCUUACACAUGCAAGUCGAACGGUAACAGGUUAAGCUGACGAGUGGCGAACGGGUGAGUAAUGUAUCGGAACGUGCCCAGUCGUGGGGGAUAACUGCUCGAAAGAGCAGCUAAUACCGCAUACGACCUGAGGGUGAAAGCGGGGGAUCGCAAGACCUCGCGCGAUUGGAGCGGCCGAUAUCAGAUUAGGUAGUUGGUGAGGUAAAGGCUCACCAAGCCGACGAUCUGUAGCUGGUCUGAGAGGACGACCAGCCACACUGGGACUGAGACACGGCCCAGACUCCUACGGGAGGCAGCAGUGGGGAAUUUUGGACAAUGGGCGCAAGCCUGAUCCAGCCAUGCCGCGUGCGGGAAGAAGGCCUUCGGGUUGUAAACCGCUCUUGUCAGGGAAGAAAAGGUUCUGGCUAAUACCUGGGACUCAUGACGGUACCUGAAGAAUAAGCACCGGCUAACUACGUG